RNAcentral lists this long non-coding RNA (314 nucleotides) under Salvia miltiorrhiza (redroot sage). Its description in RNAcentral is "long non-coding RNA (SMIL_LNC002628)". Lineage: Eukaryota; Viridiplantae; Streptophyta; Magnoliopsida; Lamiales; Lamiaceae. The record is from RNAcentral.
CUUCGCUGCUGCUACUGCUACAAGUCCGGCGAGUCGCGCCUUCGGCAGAGGGUUGAGGCGAGCGAACCGAUGAAGGGCGGCGGCGGUGGGUGGAACCGGCGAGAUGGGAGAUGGUGGAAUUGGAAAGAUGGAGGUGGUAGAGUGAGAUGGGAGAUGGGAGGCGGUGGAAUUGGAAUGGAGGGUUGAAAUAAUUAAGAUUUUGUUGGCAUAAUUAAAUUUUUUAAUUAAGUGUUAAUUAUAACCUAAAAAGGAAACAGGCCAUUAUUUGUGGGACAACCUAAAGAGGAAAACAGGUCAUUAUUUAUGGGACGGAG